This 714-nucleotide ribosomal RNA is filed under the name uncultured bacterium. RNAcentral describes it as "bacterial SSU rRNA". It matches the Rfam family "Bacterial small subunit ribosomal RNA", at positions 8 to 716 of the family's 1533-position model. The record is from RNAcentral.
AGAGUUUGAUCCUGGCUCAGAUUGAACGCUGGCGGAAUGCUUUACACAUGCAAGUCGAACGGCAGCACGGGGCAACCUGGUGGCGAGUGGCGAACGGGUGAGUAAUACAUCGGAACGUGCCCAAUCGUGGGGGAUAACNGUAGCGAAAGUUACGCUAAUACCGCAUACGAUCUACGGAUGAAAGCGGGGGAUCGCAAGACCUCGCGCGAAUGGAGCGGCCGAUGUCAGAUUAGGUAGUUGGUGGGGUAAAGGCUCACCAAGCCGACGAUCUGUAGCUGGUCUGAGAGGACGACCAGCCACACUGGGACUGAGACACGGCCCAGACUCCUACGGGAGGCAGCAGUGGGGAAUUUUGGACAAUGGGCGCAAGCCUGAUCCAGCCAUUCCGCGUGCAGGAUGAAGGCCUUCGGGUUGUAAACUGCUUUUGUACGGAACGAAACGGUUCUCUCUAAUACAGGGGGCUAAUGACGGUACCGUAAGAAUAAGCACCCGGCUAACUACGUGCCAGCAGCCGCGGUAAUACGUAGGGUGCAAGCGUUAAUCGGAAUUACUGGGCGUAAAGCGUGCGCAGGCGGUUUUGUCAGACAGAGGUGAAAUCCCCGGGCUCAACCUGGGAACUGCCUUUGUGACUGCAAGGCUGGAGUACGGCAGAGGGGGAUGGAAUUCCGCGUGUACCAGUGAAAUGCGUAGAUAUGCCGGAGGAACACCGAUGGC